UACGUAGGGUGCGAGCGUUUGUCCGGAAUUACUGGGCGUAAAGAGCUCGUAGGUGGUUUGUCGCGUUGUUCGUGAAAUCUCACGGCUUAACUGUGAGCGUGCGGGCGAUACGGGCAGACUAGAGUACUGCAGGGGAGACUGGAAUUCCUGGUGUAGCGGUGGAAAUGCGCAGAUAUCAGGAGGAACACCGGUGGCGAAGGCGGGGUCUCUGGGCCGUAACUGACGCUGAGGAGCGAAAGCAUGGGGAGCGAACAGG
RNAcentral lists this ribosomal RNA (256 nucleotides) under uncultured bacterium. RNAcentral describes it as "partial 16S ribosomal RNA". It matches the Rfam family "Bacterial small subunit ribosomal RNA", at positions 524 to 776 of the family's 1533-position model. The record is from RNAcentral.